UGACCUCGGAUCAGGUAGGAAUACCCGCUGAACUUAAGCAUAUCAAUAAGCGGAGGAAAAGAAACCAACAGGGAUUGCCUUAGUAACGGCGAGUGAAGCGGCAACAGCUCAAAUUUGAAAUCUGGCCUCUUUGGGGUCCGAGUUGUAAUUUGGAGAGGAUGUUUCGGGUACGGUCCGGGCUUAAAUUUCUUGGAACAGAAUGUCACAGAGGGUGAGAAUCCCGUCUGGAGUCCGGACACGGCCUAUGUGAAACUCCUUCGACGAGUCGAGUUGUUUGGGAAUGCAGCUCUAAAUGGGUGGUAAAUUUC
RNAcentral lists this ribosomal RNA (308 nucleotides) under Cyphellophora suttonii. Its description in RNAcentral is "eukaryotic LSU rRNA". It matches the Rfam family "Eukaryotic large subunit ribosomal RNA", at positions 1 to 307 of the family's 3401-position model. The record is from RNAcentral. Lineage: Eukaryota; Fungi; Ascomycota; Eurotiomycetes; Chaetothyriales; Cyphellophoraceae.